This 139-nucleotide non-coding RNA is filed under the name Cyclophora tenuis. The record is from RNAcentral. Lineage: Eukaryota; Bacillariophyta; Fragilariophyceae; Cyclophorales; Cyclophoraceae.
AAACAAAACAAGAAAUGAAACAAAAUGUUCCAAAGAAAAAGGAAGAGGAGGAGUAGUAUAUAUGAUCAUGUUGCAAACUGCUAGCUUAGUAUGGUUGUUCAUUGCCUUUUCCCCAUAUACCUUGCUCUUUCCUUCUUUC